CUUCCCCAAAAUAAUCAGAGUUACAGUUUCUCUCGUUGCUUUCUUUCCUCUCACCGACAUCGCACUCCCUCUCGUUGAUCAACAGCAGAUCGGCGACAAACAUAGAUCCGGUGCUUCUCGUUGACGGUGGCCGUGUUAAAGCUCCGGAGAUGAACAACGAGCAGCCCAGCGACGGUGAUCUCUAGAGGUGACGAGACAGUGGGCCAGCGAGGCAGUGGGCGGUACGGCAGUGACCGAUGUGUCCUCCUCUGGCGAGUUCAGGCAGAUCGGCAGCUGUCCUUUGUUCUUCUUCGGUGAGGCUUCUUGAUGAGGUUCUCUAUUGAUGUGAUUAGCCUAAGAGUGAGCUUAGGAUUGGAUGCGUUUAGCUUUUGGAGCUUAGCUUGAGGAGAUGAAAUUAGUGGCUUGCUUUGAGAGCGCGGCGUAGAGUUUGUAUGCCUUGUAAUAGAAUUUGUAUCCGAGAAUUGCUUAUGGUAUAGUUGAAUGGAUUAGAACCUAGACUGUUUUAUAGUUAGUUGUAAUCGGAUUAUUCAACCUUGUAUUUGGAUUGUAGAUAGAAAUAUUGUAGCCUGUGCAUUUGGGUUUAGAAUAACCCAAGUGUGGCAUAACACCCUGUGUUGUUGGUUUAGCUUCCGCAUAUUUUGAGAAAUAUUUUCCUUUAAUUCUUUA
Molecule: long non-coding RNA, 666 nt
Organism: Ipomoea nil (Japanese morning glory)
Lineage: Eukaryota; Viridiplantae; Streptophyta; Magnoliopsida; Solanales; Convolvulaceae
Exons: 2
Source: RefSeq, a predicted model, not a curated record